This 348-nucleotide ribosomal RNA is filed under the name Triticum aestivum (bread wheat). RNAcentral describes it as "partial small subunit ribosomal RNA". The record is from RNAcentral. Lineage: Eukaryota; Viridiplantae; Streptophyta; Magnoliopsida; Poales; Poaceae.
GAUAGACACACCUCCGAGUACAUUAAGGGCCUGCAUAAUUUUCUUGAAGUGGCUGAGGCAAACAAGAAGAAUGGUUUUAUGUGUUUUCCAUGCCCUAAAUGUGGGAAUACGAAGUCUUACUCUGACCGGAAAAUCCUUCACACCCACCUGCUUUACAAGGGUUUCAUGCCACACUAUAAUGCUUGGACGAGGCACGGAGAAAUAGGGGUUAUGAUGGAAGACGGCGAAGAAGAAGGGGACGAUGACAACUAUGUGCCCCCUGAAUACGGUGAUGCUGCAACGGGGGGAGCUGUUGAAGAUCAAGAGGAACCAGACGAUGUGCCCGAUGAUGCUGCAACGGGGAAAGCU